Molecule: transfer RNA, 87 nt
Filed under: Gammaproteobacteria bacterium SG8_47
Lineage: Bacteria; Pseudomonadati; Pseudomonadota; Gammaproteobacteria
Also listed under: 3 other names
Description: tRNA-Leu
Rfam family: tRNA
About the family: Transfer RNA (tRNA) molecules are approximately 80 nucleotides in length.
Source: RNAcentral
GCCGAGGUGGCGGAAUUGGUAGACGCGCUAGCUUCAGGUGUUAGUGGGGGUAACCCCGUGGAGGUUCAAGUCCUCUCCUCGGCACCA